ACAGUGGGUAGGAGUCAUAGUUGAUGACAAGUUAAAAGUUGUUGAUAGACAGCUAGUUUAAAGGGGUCAUAGAAUGCAAAACCGAGUUUACUUUGUCAUAGAUGAAUAGUGAUCGUUCAGUGGGUGAAAUGGACAUACAGAGAACUUCAAAACCCCACCGACACCUCCUUCCUAUGCAAAUCUCACAAUUCGAAACUCCCGCCAUAAAACGGGCGAAUCCAAACGAAGCUGCGAGUUCACGCAAACUCGCAGGUGGUACCUUAUUUGGCUCUGGCCUGUACAUUUGUCACGCCUCAAAAUUUACAUACAGACCAGCCCACUGGUGCUCUGAGCCCAGGAACGUGAAUGGAGAGCGAAGAUGAGACAAACACUAGUUUAGCUGCCUGCUCGUUUACUUCCACAGGAAUUAUAAAGCAGACAGUUCUUCAAGGAUAUCGAAAAUGAGCCACGGACGUAAAUGCAGUGUUCCAGGCUGAAACUUAGGCUACAAAUAAAGCUGAGACUUUCCAUAGUCUUCCCAAGGAUUCAAAAGUUCGAGGGGCAUGGAUAAUGUUUUUCUACCAGAAGAUCCCUGCAAAGUUUGACACUCCGUUAUUAAUUUGCAAAACAUUUCACCGAAGGCAGUUUUCAAAACCUUGUACAGUUAAGCAGGAUUUGCUAAGCUGCUGUUACUUAAACGAGGGGCUGUUCCGACCGUAAGGUCAUCACAACCGCAUGCUGCUUUAUCUAGCAGCCAUGCACUUCAAUGAGAAUGCUGAGUCCCCACAACAGAAGACAGCCAAGGAGAAACUAUGUACAGACUUGCCAAACAAUUUAUCAUCAAAGACCCUCUUCCUUAUUGGGAUGCCGUCCAGCGGAUUCCUGUGCCCCAGGACUUGUGUGCUCAGCUUGACAGACCUUCCAUGGAGGAUGCUGUUGCUGAACAUGUCACGGUUCAGUCGAAAAGGGGUCUGAAUCCAACGUACUGGCCUGAAGUAUCCGGAAGCUCCCUCCAUAUGCGUAGCACCACACACAAGGGGAUCAUGACACGGACGCUUCUUCUAAGGAAACCCCAGCUCCUGCUCACAAAAGACCUGUCCAAGUCACUUCAUUGCCUGCAACGAGAACAGGGUGGAAAAGCAAUUUUUUUUUACUAUUUAUUUUUUAAUAUUUUACAUCAGAGUAUCACUGGACGAUUGUUGAAAAAAAUAAAUAAAGUUUAUCAUUUUGUGGUGUUGA
Long non-coding RNA from Alosa sapidissima (American shad), 1218 nucleotides. RefSeq lists it as uncharacterized. The transcript has 3 exons. The record is from RefSeq and is a predicted model, not a curated record. Lineage: Eukaryota; Metazoa; Chordata; Actinopteri; Clupeiformes; Clupeidae.